This 774-nucleotide ribosomal RNA is filed under the name uncultured Neocallimastigales. RNAcentral describes it as "partial large subunit ribosomal RNA". It matches the Rfam family "Eukaryotic large subunit ribosomal RNA", at positions 22 to 628 of the family's 3401-position model. Lineage: Eukaryota; Fungi; Neocallimastigomycota; Neocallimastigomycetes; Neocallimastigales. The record is from RNAcentral.
UGUACACGCUGUGACUAGCUAUCAAUAAGCGGAGGAAAAGAAACUAACAAGGAUUCCCCUAGUAACGGCGAGUGAAGCGGGAAGAGCUCAAAUUUGAAAUCUUAAAGGGUUUCCCUUUACGAAUUGUAGUUUAAAGAAGUGUUUUCUGUUGAGGUUUUGGUAAAAGUUCUUUGGAAUAGGACAUCAUAGAGGGUGAGAAUCCCGUAUUUGACCUUUACUUUCAACUUUGUGAUACACUUUCAAAGAGUCGGAUUGUUUGGGAAUGCAGUCCAAAAUGGGUGGUAAAUUUCAUCUAAAGCUAAAUAUUGGCGAGAGACCGAUAGCGAACAAGUACCGUGAGGGAAAGAUGAAAAGAACUUUGAAAAGAGAGUUAAACAGUACGUGAAAUUGUCAAAAGGGAAGCGUUUGACACCAGUGUUGUUUUUCUGAAAAUCAAUUAAAGAACUGUUUAUGCUAAGCUGUUUAGACUUUAUCAGCUAUCUGUUUAGUUUUGAGCUUUUCUUUAAUGCACUUUUCAGUUAACAAGUCAACAUCAAUUUCUUUUGCUGUAAAAAAGCUUGAGGAAGGUGGCUUGAGAUUCGUCUUAAGUGUUUAUAGCCUCUCGCCUAUGCAGUCGGAGAGAUUGAGGUCUGCAGCGUAGAUCCUUCGGGGCUAAAUGCAUUUGUGCUAAGUUAUAGCAUUUUAUAGACAACUUGUUGACUAUGAUUUGUCUUGUAGCUUACUCGCUUAUGUUAUUUUACCUACGCUUAGGAUGUUGAGUCGUAGAGCACGCAG